This 708-nucleotide long non-coding RNA is filed under the name Nicotiana tabacum (common tobacco). Its description in RNAcentral is "long non-coding RNA (NTAB_LNC012280)". Lineage: Eukaryota; Viridiplantae; Streptophyta; Magnoliopsida; Solanales; Solanaceae. The record is from RNAcentral.
GGAGACGCACUUCCUAAAGUUCAGUUUUACCAUAGGAGACGCACUUCCUAAGUUCAGUUUUACCUAGGAAACGCACUUCCUAAGUUCAGUUUUACCAUAGGAGACGCACUUCCUAAAGUUCAGUUUUACCAUAGGAGACGCACUUCCCAAGUUCAGUUCUACCAAUAGGAGACGCACUUCCUAAGUUUAUUGUACCCACAGGAGACGCACUUCCUAAGUUUAUUGUACCUAAUAGGAGACGCACUUCCGUAAAGUUUAGUUUUGCCCAUACGAGAUGCACUUCCUAAGUUUACUUUUAUCCCAUAGGAGACGCACUUCCUAAAUUAAGAUUUCACGCAUAGGAGACGCAUUUCCUAAAUUAUUUUCAUUCAUAGGAGACGCACUUCCUAGUUCAAAAUCAUUAAGGUUUCACCCAUAGGAGACGCACUUCCUAAGACUAUUUAACCCCUAGGAGACGCACUUCCUAAGUUUAAUUUCAUGCAUAGGAAACGCAUUUCCUGAAUUAAGUUUACUUUAAGAGACGCACUUCCUAGUUUGGCUUUUUCAGGUUAUACUUUUACUUUAGGAGAUGCACUUCUUAGUUUGGCUUUUUCAGGUUAUACUUUAUUUCAGGAGACGCACUUCCGGAAUUGAGAUUUCACCCUUAGGAGAUGCACUUCGUAGUUUGAUUCAUUUUGAGUUCGACCAUAAGAAACACAAUUCCCAGUC